GAUGAACGCUGGCGGCGUGCCUAAUACAUGCAAGUCGAGCGAACAGAUGAGGAGCUUGCUCCUCUGACGUUAGCGGCGGACGGGUGAGUAACACGUGGAUAACCUACCUAUAAGACUGGGAUAACUUCGGGAAACCGGAGCUAAUACCAGAUAAUAUAUUGAACCGCAUGGUGCAUAGGGUAAUAGGGCUUUGCGCGUCUGUAUAAGACGAUGCCGGAUUAGCUAGUUGGCAAGGUAACGGCUUACCAAGGCAACGAUGCGUAGCUGGUCUGAGAGGGUGAUCGGCCACACUGGAACUGAGACACGGUCCAGACUCCUACGGGAGGCAGCAGUAGGGAAUCUUCCGCAAUGGGCGAAAGCCUGACGGAGCAACGCCGCGUGAGUGAUGAAGGUCUUCGGAUCGUAAAACUCUGUUAUUAGGGAAGAACAAAUGUGUAAGUAACUAUGCACGUCUUGACGGUACCUAAUCAGAAAGCCACGGCUAACUACGUG
RNAcentral lists this ribosomal RNA (492 nucleotides) under uncultured bacterium. Its description in RNAcentral is "partial 16S ribosomal RNA". It matches the Rfam family "Bacterial small subunit ribosomal RNA", at positions 28 to 507 of the family's 1533-position model. The record is from RNAcentral.